RNAcentral lists this ribosomal RNA (402 nucleotides) under uncultured bacterium. RNAcentral describes it as "bacterial SSU rRNA". It matches the Rfam family "Bacterial small subunit ribosomal RNA", at positions 355 to 774 of the family's 1533-position model. The record is from RNAcentral.
UGGGGAAUAUUGGACAAUGGGCGCAAGCCUGAUCCAGCCAUGCCGCGUGAGUGAAGAAGGCCCUAGGGUUGUAAAGCUCUUUCAACGGUGAAGAUAAUGACGGUAACCGUAGAAGAAGCCCCGGCUAACUUCGUGCCAGCAGCCGCGGUAAUACGAAGGGGGCUAGCGUUGUUCGGAAUUACUGGGCGUAAAGCGCACGUAGGCGGAUCGGUCAGUUAGGGGUGAGAUCCCAGGGCUCAACCCUGGAACUGCCUUUAAUACUGCCGAUCUGGAGUCCGGAAGAGGUGAGUGGAAUUCCGAGUGUAGAGGUGAAAUUCGUAGAUAUUCGGAGGAACACCAGUGGCGAAGGCGGCUCACUGGUCCGGUACUGACGCUGAGGUGCGAAAGCGUGGGGAGCAAACA